GUGCCAGCAGCAGCGGUAAUACGAGAGAUGCAAGCGUUAUUCGGAAUUAUUGGGCGUAAAGUGUGUGUAGGUGGUUUGUUGUACUUUAAACUAAAAAAUUAAAUUUUAAUAAUUAUAAUUAAAUAAUUAUCAAACUAAGAGAUUGUUAAAAAUAAAACGAACUUUUUGGGGAGUGGUUUAAUACGUUGAUCCAAUAAGGAAGAUUAAAGUGAAAACUUUUUAUUAGAGCAUUUCUGACACUGAGACACGAAAGCUAAGGUAGCAAAUGAGAUUAGAGACCUCAGUCAGUCUUAGCUGUAAAUUAUGAAAACUUAAAAAUAAUUUUAUUAUAAAAUUAUUUUUUAUGCUAACGCUUCAAGUUUUCCGCCUGGGUAGUACAUUUGAAAAAAUGAAACUUAAAGGAAUUGACGGGGAUCCUUACAAGCGGUGGGGCAUGUGGUUUAAUUCGAUGCAACACGAAAAACCUUACCAAAAUUAGACUAUACAGGUGGUGCAUGGCUGUCGUCAGUUUGUGCCGUGAGGCGUUGGAUUUAGUUCCAUAACAAACGCUACCCUUUUAUAAUAUUUAUAUAUUUAUUAUAUACUGCUAAAUUAUAUUAAUAAUUUAGAGGAAGGAGAGGAAGACGUCAAGUCAUCAUGCUCUUUAUAUUUUGGGCCGCCCACAUGCCACAAAGAGAAAUAUAAUAAAAUAGUAAUAUAGUUUUUAUUGUAAAAUAAAAGUUAUUUUAAAAAUUUUUCCUAGUACGGAAGUUAGAUUGAAAUUUCUAAGUAAAGCAGGAAUCGCUAGUAAUCGUUGGUCAGCUAUACAACGGUGAAUUAUUGCAAGGAUCUUGUACACACCGCCCGUCACAUCAGGGAAAUUUAGGGUUAUAAAAAUAAUUUAUAUUAUUAUUAUAUAGUACUAAGUAACUAGGGUGAAGUCGUAACAAGGUAACCGUA
Molecule: ribosomal RNA, 939 nt
Filed under: Hepatozoon catesbianae
Lineage: Eukaryota; Apicomplexa; Hepatozoidae
Description: SSU rRNA
Rfam family: Bacterial small subunit ribosomal RNA
Source: RNAcentral